GAUCGAUUGGAAAUGCCAGAUCGGUUAGCACAAUGUACUGCAGAACAACCCAUUAUGUCCGUGUGAAAUUAUAUCAAUUAUAGAAAUGUAGAGAUUAAAUAUAAAGUUCCAAUCUCCUCAGUCCUCCGAAGAUUCAGUGGCUCCUCGGCUCAGAUAGCUGUCAAUCACAGCUGUGAAUCACGACGUCACACCACCGUUUUUAGAGCAUUAAAUAACUAACUAAAAACAAACUUAUUUUAAAAACAAACUCUUGAAUUUACAUUAGCGUGAUACAAACUACAGUAAAUGACAGAAACCAGCUUCGGAAAAAAUAUAUUUGAAGGGUAAUUUAUUUGUUUAGUUGGUCUCGCGUCCCAUUGAAUAACAUGGGGAGGGCGGGGUUUAUGACCUAUACUGGGACCACUCACCAGGGGGCGAUCGAGACGUUUUGGCUUCACUUUUCAGGGCUUGUGCGGCACGCUUGGCUCAAACCUUCAACAUUUGACUAAGUGCUACAGCGCCACCAUGGGGUGUAUAGGUAUAGUAAUGGCUGAGGCCCUUUGGGCAUCUCAUGGCAACAAGUAUGCAAAGUUUCAUGCAAAUUGAGCCACAUAUGGCCGAGUUACGGGCCUCUGAAAAUGGGCCCGGAGAAAAAUAAUAAUAAUAAUAAUAAAACCAACAAAAACAAUAGGGUACCGUACCUACGGUACUUGGUCCCCUAAUAAUAAUAAUAAUAAUAAAACCAACAAAAACAAUAGGGUACCAUACCUACGGUACUUGGUCCCCUAAUACAAAUCAUAAUAAUAAAACCAACAAAAACAAUAGGGUACCGUACCUACGGUACUUGGUCCCCUAAUAAUAAUAAUAAAACGUACAAACAUAAAAGGGUUCCAGCAACUUCGUUGCUUGGCCCCCUAACAACAGUCCUGUAGUCCCGCUAUACUUUAAAUGUUACUCAGCCCUGUCCAAACUCUACAGGUACUUGUUUAACAUUAUAAAUAAAAUGACUGGAGGGUCCCUUGGAAAUACUUUAAAAGACUUUGCACCUACUUCAAACACCUGAUUCAACUAAAAUGUUAAAAUAGUAUGACAACCCCUAACAGUACGAGUGUGCAGUUUUAAUGCUUUGUUUGCCUUUCAGACCUCAAAGUUGUCCUCAACCGGGGACAGAAUGUUUUGGCAAACCGUGUGGUAUGUGUUUGAUAAGGUCUUCACACUGGACUUUGCAACCCAACUGAACUGUUGCGGUAGGGGGCAGAAGACUGUCAUCCGGUCAAUACCACUGAAGGAUGCUAUUGUGUGUUCUGUUCUUAAAAAACCACGUUUGCCAGGAAUGACUGAGUUCGAGGUUGAAAGGGCAGAGACGGCAGCUGGAGGGAGAGACCUGCGAAAUAAGAGGACGGUUUGUAGCCUACUAUUUGUAGCCUAUUGCACAAUUGUUGGGUGUUUUUGUUUAGGCUUCUUUUGUUUUUUCUAUGUUUGUUCAAUUGUAC
Molecule: long non-coding RNA, 1472 nt
Organism: Esox lucius (northern pike)
Lineage: Eukaryota; Metazoa; Chordata; Actinopteri; Esociformes; Esocidae
Source: Ensembl